AGUGUGUUGUGAAAUGUAGACGCUCAACGUCUGAAUUGCAGCGCAUACUGGUUUCCUUGAGUACGCACAACGUUGGCGGAAUUCGUCGUGUAGCGGUGAAAUGCUUAGAUAUGACGAAGAACUCCGAUUGCGAAGGCAGCUGACGGGAGCGCAACUGACGCUUAAGCUCGAAGGUGCGGGUAUCAAACAGGAUUAGAUACCCUGGUAGUCCGCACAGUAAACGAUGGAUGCCCGCUGUUGGUACCUGGUAUCAGCGGCUAAGCGAAAGCAUUAAGCAUCCCACCUGGGGAGUACGCCGGCAACGGUGAAACUCAAAGGAAUUGACGGGGGCCCGCACAAGCGGAGGAACAUGUGGUUUAAUUCGAUGAUACGCGAGGAACCUUACCCGGGCU
This 392-nucleotide ribosomal RNA is filed under the name uncultured bacterium. RNAcentral's name for it is "bacterial SSU rRNA". It matches the Rfam family "Bacterial small subunit ribosomal RNA", at positions 586 to 981 of the family's 1533-position model. The record is from RNAcentral.